UGACCUCUCAAAUGUUCCGUUGAAAUUUCUCAAUAAUUGGUAAAGAACAUGAGUUUUCUCACUUCCCACACAGACCCUAGAAGGAAGCAGUACUGCACAAUUUUGGCUACAGCUGUCAUUUUGCUCCCUUUGGAAUGUAUCUUUUUGAGAUUGUUGGUUUUUAGCGCCAAAGCAGAGACCAUAAGGACACAUCCACGCCGGACGUCAUGUAAAGGGGUUGGGCUUUGGAGUCAGAGAGACUAAGUGGGUCAGCCUAGGCGACCUUAAUUUCCUGCUCCGUAAAAUAAGAAAAGUAGCACCCACGCCAAGGACUUGCUGCGAGAAUUACAAGGAGGUAAAAGCAUUUUCGGUGCCUAGCACGUGUAAAUGCCCGAAAUACCCCAAUGUUUAUCGCCAAAGAUGGAAGAGGAAGAUUAAAACAAUAAUUUGCAGAAAAGCCCUGCCUUCCCAAAGAUCUAGAGUGUAAUGCAACCAUAUGUUGCUGAGGAGCUCGAAUCUUGGCUGCCUUCGCCCCUCUGCACGAGCAGAAACCCCGGUUUUCAGGGGCCGUGAUCUCAUCGUGUCGCUCUCACUUUUGAAG
Non-coding RNA from Delphinapterus leucas (beluga whale), 580 nucleotides. Lineage: Eukaryota; Metazoa; Chordata; Mammalia; Artiodactyla; Monodontidae. The record is from RefSeq and is a predicted model, not a curated record.